This 1376-nucleotide long non-coding RNA is filed under the name Gossypium barbadense (sea-island cotton). RNAcentral's name for it is "long non-coding RNA (GBAR_LNC004534)". The record is from RNAcentral. Lineage: Eukaryota; Viridiplantae; Streptophyta; Magnoliopsida; Malvales; Malvaceae.
AAUUGAAUAAAUUGAAAAAUAUGUAUGACUUUGAAAUUGAAUGUGAUUUGAUAUUGAAUUUGAUACUGUAUUAUUAUAGAAUUAUUAGUCGUAGCUAAAGACAAUGCAAAACUAUCGAGAGGGAAAAGAAAAGCGAGAGUGGAUGACGAAAGACGCGAGUUUUCAGUUUUUAUUUCUUUGAUUCGAGAACCAGUAAUUUUCUACAUGUCCAUCUUAAUUUGCAUUGUAAUAGGCCCAAUUCGCUCGACCCAUCAUAAACCAAAAAUAAUAAAUAUAAAAAAGAAAAGAAAAACACAAUAAAUGGCCCCAAAUUAGUCAAAGCCCAAGUUCUUUUACAAAUAAUAAAAUAACCUAAUUAACCCAAAUAAAUCCCCAAACCCAAUAAUAAAUUUAACCUAAAUAUAUAUAUAACCCAAUUAGCCCAAAUAACCCAUUACCCCAGGCUCAAAACACUAAUGAUUUUUUUCGGCAGAAACCCUAGGUCAUUAGAAGCUUCAGCCGCUGCAGCCUCCAACCGAUCCUUCCAAGCGCGCCACGCUCUACGCCCACGAAUAACUCCUCCACGCCAUGCACACCUGCAACAAGAACAACAACGGAUAACAAAUAACAGCAAAUUCCAGCAAGGAAAAUUUGUAUUAUUUUAUUUUAUUUUAUUCCUAUUUUUUGGUUAUAAAACCGAAUGAAGAUGAAUGUAAGGGGGGACGCACAUUAUACGCAUAUAGAUAUACAAAAAGUUUGAAUAAAAAAGAAAAGAAGUUUCCAAGAGGUGAUUUGAAAAUAUCAUUUUUUUUCAUUUGAUUUUGCUUUUAUUUCUUCUUUGAUCUUCAUUAUUGUAAGUGAAAAACAAAUAAAUAAAGGCGUAGAAGGCUUCGAAAUCCUUCUUUACUUCGUGGUAGUCGAAGCUUAGAUGAGGAUUGAGGUUAGGCCUAGCAAAACUCUCGGAUUCGAGGUCGAAUGGGGCCAGAUUAGGCCUUUGCAUGAUGACCGUCGGCCGAAUAUGGAGGAAAAUGGCAGUUGAAGGGUUUUUUUUUUGGUUCGGCUGAAUGGGAGAGAGAUAGGAAGCUUAGGUUCUUUGUUUUGAUUUUGUUUAAGGGGACUAAGGGUCAUUUUAGGGUUUUUUCUUUUGUUUUUUAGGAAGUAUAAGAAACGGCGCUGUUUAUGGGGAAGAAGAUCCGCGCGUCGACCCAUUCUGCGGCCCAGAUCCGCGUUUUACCUUGAAUGGUCCAUUUGUGUCCAUGGUCCUUUUACUUUGCUGAACCAUUCAAUCGCGCCUUAUUAGUUUUGCCUUGUUUUUUAAUUUGGCUCUUUAAUUUGUGCAUGUUUUCAUUUUAGUUCGUGAUACAGUGCUGCAUUUUGGGCUCAAGGAUGUUUGCAAU